This is a long non-coding RNA of Lampris incognitus (smalleye Pacific opah), 2033 nucleotides long. RefSeq lists it as uncharacterized. The record is from RefSeq and is a predicted model, not a curated record. Lineage: Eukaryota; Metazoa; Chordata; Actinopteri; Lampriformes; Lampridae. The transcript has 10 exons.
CUAGGAAGACCCGCCCCCUACUCUAUCUCCGAUUGGCUAACCCUAUCCCUAACCCUAACCUUAACCUUAACGGAGGCGACGAGUACUAGCCAAUCAGAGGCAGAGUUCGCGGAAAACGGGUACGAGUACUGGCCAAUCAGAGACAGAGUGCCCAGAAAAGCAGUGGGUUUCAUAGUAACGCGGACUGCGCUGAGCGCAGCCCGGGCGGCGCAUUUACGAAUCCCUACUAUGGCUGCGCCACUAAGGUGGUUUGUCCAAUUUGCACCAAAGAAUUCCCACAUGAUGAGAUCACAGUCCAUGCUAGCCUAUGUAGAGAGAGCUUUGAAUGUACAGUGACUUCUGCACCAAAUGACAAUAGUCCAAACUCCAGCAUCCAAACCAAAAAGUGUGGAGGAUGUGCUGCUCUUCGUUAAACACCAAAUUGACACCACAACAGAGUUUAAACUGUGUGUGGACAGAGAAGGCCUUCUUGACAGGGGCAUUCUCCAAUGGAAAAGGAAAAAAACUAUAGAGCUAUAUAGGAGAGGCAAGCAUUGAUACAGCAGCACUUAGAAAAGAGUUUCUGACUGAAAUGAUUGCGGGUAUUGAAAACAGAUUCUUCGAAGGAGCUGGGAACCAGGGUAAAAAUCCCAAGUACUCUUUGACAGACCUUGAUAAUGAGAAUUUCAGAACUAUUGGUGAAAUAAUGGCAGUCAGCCUUGCACAAGGUGGCCCACCUCCUGCUGUUUUGAAAGAGUAGUGCUACAACUUCCUCUGCACAGGAGAGAUUGACUUUCAUUCGCUGUCUAAGGAGGAUGUGGCUGAUCUAGAAUCAUGUCUACUCAUCAGCAGGGUCGAAAAUUCUGCAGAUAUCCAAUCUCUGACGAUGUACGCUGAUGAAAUUGUCAGCUGUGGAUACACCAGCCAGAUCAACCUGGACAGCAAGGAAAGCAUCCUUCGAGCAAUUGUCCUGCAUUCUACAACAAGACUGAUUCCAAUGCUGCAGCAACUUAGAAAGGGCAUGGAACUGUAUGGCCUGGUGGGCCAGAUGGCUUCAAACCCUGCAGCUUGCCACUCCCUGGUUGUUCCUGGGAAGAUCACCAAACCUGAUGCUGAUUUCAUAAUGAUGAACUGCCAGCCCCAUUUCAGUGAAAAGGGGACAUCUAAGGAGAGAGCUGAGAGGAAGAUGAUCAACUUCCUCCCAAGAUUUCUUAGAAGAGCUUGAAAUGCCAGAUGGGGAGACAUACAGUGCAGCUGGCGACACAGAACCUCUUGCAGUGCCACAUGUGCUCCAGUGGAUGACAGGCCAAUCCCACAUCCCCAUCCUCCCUGAUGAAAAGAGACAUUUCAAAAUAACAUGCAACUUUGACCAUGAAUGCAGGGAAAGGCUUGGAGACCACUCGGUUUGUUAUCCAAUAGUGAGUGCAUGCACUCAGACUGUGACUUUUUCAAUACAGCAUCUUGGCACUUACACCGACUUUAGAAGAGUCAUGAGUGAAGCAGUGCGAUAUGGUGGUGGAUUCCAGAGUUUAACAGCUCUAGCUUUACUCAAAACAAGAAGUGGUUAAUAUGCCAAUGGCUGUUCUAUCUGAAAAACAGACAAGAGUUAUUGAGUUUUGUUAUUCAUCAUUUAUUUGUUGUUCAUAAUUUUCAAUACCUCAUACAGGAUCUUUUACUUGAAUUAGUUGGGGAAAAGCUUCAGAAUGUCUGUAAAACAAGGUUCCUGUAACCAGCUAAUGUGUCUGUUCAUGUUCUAAUGUCAGACACCUUGUGCAAGAAUUGUAUGUACAAGUCACGACCGUGUGACUGAGGAUGUUCCAGAGGAUCAAUACUUCUCUGAAGUUCCUCCAGGGCUCCGUCAUCCAGUGGGCAUGCAAUUUCAGGAACCACAACCGCUCCAUUAGAGUCCUCUUGCAGUACGGCACUCUCCCAGUCAAUGCCUGGGUCUUGAAGUUCCUACAGAUCCAAAAAGAAAAAAAAAACCAACGAGUCAAGACUGUUCUUAAAAUAUUGCGCUGCUGUGUGUAUUUCUUUUAUAAAAAUAAACAAAACUG